AACACGUGAGCAACCUGCCUUUCAGUGGGGGACAACAUUUGGAAACGAAUGCUAAUACCGCAUAAGACCACAGUGUCGCAUGGCACAGGGGUCAAAGGAUUUAUCCGCUGAAAGAUGGGCUCGCGUCCGAUUAGCUAGAUGGUGAGGUAACGGCCCACCAUGGCGACGAUCGGUAGCCGGACUGAGAGGUUGAACGGCCACAUUGGGACUGAGACACGGCCCAGACUCCUACGGGAGGCAGCAUG
RNAcentral lists this ribosomal RNA (245 nucleotides) under uncultured bacterium. Its description in RNAcentral is "partial 16S ribosomal RNA". It matches the Rfam family "Bacterial small subunit ribosomal RNA", at positions 112 to 353 of the family's 1533-position model. The record is from RNAcentral.